UACGUAGGGUGCGAGCGUUAAUCGGAAUUACUGGGCGUAAAGGGUGCGCAGGCGGAUAAUUAAGUUGAGAGUGAAAUACCCGGGCUCAACCUGGGAAUGGCUUUUAAUACUGGUUAUCUAGAGUUUGUCAGAGGGGGGUGGAAUUCCAAGUGUAGCAGUGAAAUGCGUAGAGAUUUGGAGGAACACCAAUGGCGAAGGCAGCCCCCUGGGAUAAAACUGACGCUCAGGCACGAAAGCGUGGGUAGCAAACAGG
RNAcentral lists this ribosomal RNA (253 nucleotides) under uncultured bacterium. RNAcentral describes it as "partial 16S ribosomal RNA". It matches the Rfam family "Bacterial small subunit ribosomal RNA", at positions 524 to 776 of the family's 1533-position model. The record is from RNAcentral.